UACGAAGGGGGCUAGCGUUGUUCGGAAUUACUGGGCGUAAAGCGCGCGCAGGCGGUCUUCCAAGCCAGUGGUGAAAGCCCGGAGCUCAACUCCGGAACUGCCAUUGAAACUGUUAGACUUGAGGAUGAGAGAGGUGAGUGGAAUUCCCAGUGUAGAGGUGAAAUGCGUAGAUAUUGGGAGGAACACCAGUGGCGAAGGCGGCUCACUGGACCGGUACUGACGCUGAUGCGCGAAAGCGUGGGGAGCAAACGGG
This 253-nucleotide ribosomal RNA is filed under the name uncultured bacterium. Its description in RNAcentral is "partial 16S ribosomal RNA". It matches the Rfam family "Bacterial small subunit ribosomal RNA", at positions 524 to 776 of the family's 1533-position model. The record is from RNAcentral.